UCGGCUCACACCUCCGACGGCAUUCUCAUUUAUCAUAGUUUAUAUUCACAAUUGUGGCUCAAUUUCAACAUGGCAUAUAAUGUGAUGGCAAACAAGAUCAUUUUCAUCAUAUGGUUUAUAUAUGCAUUUCCAAUCAUCAACAUACAUGCGGCAGGAUCCAAUCACUUAUGUCAAUACAAUCCAUGGGGUCCAUGCAACAUAGAAUAAUCCAUACAUCACGACCUUUUUGAGA
RNAcentral lists this long non-coding RNA (232 nucleotides) under Eucalyptus grandis. Its description in RNAcentral is "long non-coding RNA (EGRA_LNC003368)". Lineage: Eukaryota; Viridiplantae; Streptophyta; Magnoliopsida; Myrtales; Myrtaceae. The record is from RNAcentral.